Molecule: long non-coding RNA, 1163 nt
Organism: Cyprinus carpio (common carp)
Lineage: Eukaryota; Metazoa; Chordata; Actinopteri; Cypriniformes; Cyprinidae
Exons: 3
Source: RefSeq, a predicted model, not a curated record
GUUCAUCGUAAUAUUUAAUUAAUUAAUCGUUCUUAAACAACAUCUUUUAUUAAACAGCUUGGCAACGAUUGUCAACACAAUGGGUAACACUUGCUGCAAAUUUGCUCAAGAACACACUUUGGAGAAACAGACUUUGAUGCAAGACGCUGUGGCUAAUGAGCUCUCAUCAAGUCAAACUCAGAUCUCUGUCCAAUGUAAGGAGAACCCUGAGGGUCAAGACGGAAUAGUGCUGUUUGACACGGUGCAAGUCUUUCCCAUUGUCAACAUCCUUUGUCCUACCAGGGUAGAAGAUCUUCAUGAUGGUCAUAGCAAACAGCAGUAGAUCUCUCUCAUCGGUAUUCAAGGAAAUUUAGAAUUUAAAAAUCUUCUAUGUUUUCUGUGCUUUGAUAAGUUGGUGAUUAAAAUGUGAGAUGUUGAAUCAUUAAAAUUUAAAAGAGCAGUUGGUUAUUUUUUUCUAAAUCUGCUGUUUUAAUCUGUUCUCAAGGCUAGAACUUAUAAGACCACACACAAACAAACAGCAGUAUAGGGUUCCAGCGAGCACCAUCAAACCUUGACAGAAGCAUGCAGCACAUCUGUUCUUCAAUUAUUGGCUGCCUGUAACUGCCUGCAUCAAAUUCAAAGCUCUGAUGCAUACAGUACCACAUCUGUCAGCACCCUCUAAUCUAAGCUUGCUUUUUCAGAUUUAUAAACCCCUGUUGUCAGUCAGUGAGUGACUCCUCAUUGAAUCAUAUGAGGUUAUUUUCAAGUAUCUUUACAAGCCCUCGCUUUACCUUCAGACAGCAUUAUCCAUUACAGUCCAGGGGUCUCAUUUAUAAAACUCUCCGUAGACUUCAUCCUAAAAGUGUAUGUAUGCACAAAAGCUAGAUUUUGCGUACGCACAAAAGUUUUCAGAUUUAUAAAACCUAUACAUAUGCCAGAACCUGCAAAAAAUCCCUUUAUAAAUGCCAGUUAGGGGAAGAUUGUGCGUACGUGCAUCUCCACCCUGAAAUCACCAUAUAUGGAGCUUACAACGCCUAGUUUUACUAUGCAUAACCUCAUCUGCAUCAUUUCCAUGCAUAUUCCCAUUCACCUAACACCAUAUUUAGGUACAAGACAUUAAGGAAAUAUGAGAUAUGGACUAUAAAUGCCAUUUGUGCCAUACACAGUUUUUAUUGCUAAAAAUC